GAUGAACGCUAGCGGGAGACCUAACACAUGUAGGCCGAGAGGUAUUUCUUCUUCGGGAGAGAGAGAGCGGCGUACGGGUGCGGAACACGUGUGCAACCUGCCUUUAUCCAGAGGAUAGCCUUUCGAAAGGAAGAUUAAUACUCUAUAGUAUAUUAAUUGGCAUCAAUUGAUAUUGAAAACUCCGGUGGAUAGAGAUGGGCACGCGCAAGAUUAGCUAGUUGGUGAGGUAACGGCUCACCAAGGCAAUGAUCUUUAGGGGGCCUGAGAGGGUGAUCCCCCACACUGGUACUGAGACACGGACCAGACUCCUACGGGAGGCAGCAGUGAGGAAUAUUGGUCAAUGGGUGCAAGCCUGAACCAGCCAUCCCGCGUGAAGGAUUAAGGUCCUAUGGAUUGUAAACUUCUUUUGUAUAGGGAUAAACCUACCCUCGUGAGGGUAGCUGAAGUUACUAUACGAAUAAGCACCGGCUAACUCCGUGCCAGCCGCCGCAGUAA
This 495-nucleotide ribosomal RNA is filed under the name uncultured bacterium. RNAcentral describes it as "partial 16S ribosomal RNA". It matches the Rfam family "Bacterial small subunit ribosomal RNA", at positions 28 to 523 of the family's 1533-position model. The record is from RNAcentral.